Molecule: long non-coding RNA, 848 nt
Filed under: Malus domestica (apple)
Lineage: Eukaryota; Viridiplantae; Streptophyta; Magnoliopsida; Rosales; Rosaceae
Description: long non-coding RNA (MDOM_LNC013115)
Source: RNAcentral
AGGAAAAGAAAAAGAUCUCAAGUUGUGAGAGUUUGCGCAGGGCAAUUUUGUGUUGAUUUUGUCGGGCUGGUUCUGAUGCACAGCUUCCGCUAUUUAUAGCACUGGACCCCGAAUCUGAGAUAGAAUCCUAUUCGGACUAGGUUUUCCCUCUCCGGAUCAAUAUCACCUCGACCAGUCCUGUUUUUAUUAGGAUUGUGAACCUAGUCCUUAUUCGAGCCCUAUCCGCUUCUAGGUUGUUAAUCCUGCCGAGAAUCCCUAUUGUAUCAGGACUCGGCUUGUCAUUGCAUUUUGACCUAACCGGCCUAGGUUUGGAAGCCCAUAAGCUGAACGAUCCAUGGUCUUCUUGUCGCAAGGCCUUCCGGGCCGAGAAUGGUUCUACACUCGGCCCAAACUAUUAUUUUGGGCCCAAACAGUAAAAUAACUAAACACACAAAUUAAACCCUCUUGUUGACAAUUGUAGUAUAUGUAUAAGUAGGGAUCGUUCUUAAACCGGGGAUUAGGAGGGAUUGCUAAACAUUCUAAACUGACUCAAAUAGAUAAAACUAAGCUUUAAAACACUAAACUAGACUCAAAAGACUCAAAACAAACUCAAAAGACUCAAAACAAGCUAAAAACACUCAAAACUGCCUAAAAACACAAACUGUGCAGUUUUGAGCUCUAAACACAAUUUGGACGAAAUUUGGGUUUCUAAAGGCUCAAAACACUUAAAAACACAAUCUAAGACAAGUUCUAACUAAUAUGACUUAACAAAGUAAAGGGGGGUUUGGUUUUGGACGAAAAUAAGUAAAUUAAAGCAAGAACAAUUUAAACAGAUUCUUAAGCAAAUUUAGGUGAAUUGAUGAGAUAUG